This 446-nucleotide ribosomal RNA is filed under the name uncultured bacterium. RNAcentral's name for it is "partial 16S ribosomal RNA". It matches the Rfam family "Bacterial small subunit ribosomal RNA", at positions 338 to 795 of the family's 1533-position model. The record is from RNAcentral.
CCUACGGGCGGCAGCAGUCGAGAAUCAUUCACAAUGGGGGAAACCCUGAUGGUGCGACGCCGCGUGGGGGAAUGAAGGUCUUCGGAUUGUAAACCCCUGUUAUGUGGGAGCAAAUUAAAAAGAUAGUACCACAAGAGGAAGAGACGGCUAACUCUGUGCCAGCAGCCGCGGUAAUACAGAGGUCUCAAGCGUUGUUCGGAAUCACUGGGCGUAAAGCGUGCGUAGGCUGUUUCGUAAGUCGUGUGUGAAAGGCGCGGGCUCAACCCGCGGACGGCACAUGAUACUGCGAGACUAGAGUAAGGGAGGGGGAACCGGAAUUCUCGGUGUAGCAGUGAAAUGCGUAGAUAUCGAGAGGAACACUCGUGGCGAAGGCGGGUUCCUGGACAUUAACUGACGCUGAGGCACGAAGGCCAGGGGAGCGAAAGGGAUUAGAUACCCCAGUAGUC